CGUGAGCCACCAUCGGACGCAGGGUAAGUUUUUUUUUGUUUUUUUUUUCUCUCUUUAAGGUGCUCAUUGAUUCAUUCCUUGUUCUAGUUUUCUGUCCAAAAUCCCAAUAGAAACACAACACACCCUGAGUAGUAUGAUACGGGCCCGGCCUUGAGAAUUUGAGGGCUUAGGCAAGCAUUUGAAGUGGAGGCCCAGAAUUCUCUAAUUUUUUUCAAUAUAAAAUGAGUAUAAAAGAUAAAAACAUUUAAUUAGAUAACUAGACUCACUAAAAAAAAUAAAAAACACAGCUUAUGUUUUUAGACCUAGAUCUAAAAGAAUAUUAUGUCUUCAUUCUUCCACAAGGCCGGGUUGGUAUUUUACUUCUUUUGAUCAAAGGUGACUUUCAUUACAAACAACAAACUUUAUAACACAGGCCCAAAAACAGAACAAAAAAAAACCACACAAACAAACGGCAGUGGGUCAACCAAACAAACCAAAAGAAGCCCAACCAAAAGUUGAGUCCCAAACAAAAAGAACGCCAAAAACAAGUGAUACAUCCAAUAUUACUGACUUUAGUGAACGUUACUCCAUGAAAACUAGGUUCAGAUGCCAUUGAAGCCAGCAAAUGAUAACACCCAAUAAGAGUCCUCCUCCUCCUCUUCUUUUCUUCUUUACUGUAUCAAUAAAAUAAUAAUCGAUAUCAUUAAAAAAAAAACUAUUUUUAAUCUCUAUUUAUUGUAUCAAUAAAAUAAUAAUAGAUAUCAUAAAAAAAACCUAUGCAAUCGGUGUUAAUCUGCAUAGACAUAUACGAGAUAUUACCUCAGUAUUUCAGUCAAGAAGAAAAUCCAUGCUACUAGUCGUGUUAACUAGAAACUCGUACAAAAUCGAUCAGUCGAGUUGGAAACAUUUUGGUCAGCUCGUUCUCGAUUUCCUCUUCAGGCUGCAUAUGAAUCAAAUAAUAUGAUAAUAUAAAUAGGAAACUUUAUUCUAAUCCUUAGCAAAGAAAACUUUUAGACUAAAACUAUAAAAUCAAAAUUUAAUUUUAAUACCUUGACACAUUAAUCACCUCAUUUAUUAAUUAUAUUCUAUUGUUUUAAUUAUUUCUCUUUUGCCACUCUAUACUAUAGUUUGGUGAUAUUCCUCUUCACUUGGAAGUGAAAGGUCUUAGGUUCGAAUCUCGUGAAUGACGAAUUCGAUACUAAAUUAGGUUGUCCAUUGUGUGGCUUAGCCGAACUCUUCCUCCCCUUAGUGCAAAAAUAUCGAUGUACUCAAAAAAUUGUUUCUCUUUUUUCUUCCUAAUUUUAAUGUAUUAAUUAUAUUUAAUUAUAAUUAUUAUUUUCAUUUCAUUCAUCAUAAUAUAUUUUGUUGUAAACAUUUAGGUAAACUAAUUUUUGUUAUACAAUAUAUUUCAAUAUACUUUGUCUUCUUUAUUUAGGUACAUUAAUUCAUUUAAUAUAUUUUAGUACAUCAAUUUUGGUACAACACAUUUAGGUACAUUAAUUCAAUAUAAUACAUUUCGGUGCAUAUAUUUCGGUACAUACAUUUUAGUAUAUACAUUUCGGUACAAUUAGGUACAUUAAUUCAAGAUGAUACAUUUCGGUAUUAACAUUUAGGUACAUUAAUUGAGUUUUUCAAGUUUGAAGAAUGUUAAAUAAAAUUAAUAAAUUAAAAAAAAACUUUUUUGAUAAAAAAAAAAAUAAAUGUGUAUAUUAACAAAUUCAAAUAUUCUAAUGGAAGACAUUGGAUAAAAUACACAUUAAAUAAUUUGAAUUAAGAACACAUCAAAGGACUAUAAUCAAUAAGUAAUUUAACACCAGGUUUUUAUUUAAUUUCAAUAUUUUUCAAGGAUUAAAGCUAAAAACCCCUAAUAUAAAAACAAAAAAAUUAUAACAUAUGAUUUAGAUCACUUAAUUUCUACUUUUCUAGUAUUAGUAGUAUUAAUCAGUAAUACACCUUGACAAGCAGAACAGAAGCAUACCAUGCGUGUUUUCGAAUGCUGAUAGAUGUGAUUAGCGGCAUUCUUUGAGAAAUGCAAGACACCCACGACGGUAUUUUUGUAUCCCGUUCCCUGCUGCGGCCCAUAAUUAAGCAGCGACUUGAAAGCGUCUUUAUAAAUAGAUUGUUGGAUCUGUGAAUCAAAGUUAACCACUGUUGUGUCGAACUUUUCAUACUCUCGUUCCCAAGUUUUCCUUCUGUUAUCAUUCAAGUGAAGUAUAGCUCGGAUUGGAAAACGAAAUCGUUCGGUAGUUGAUUGAAGCAGAGGAUGAUGGAACAACUUUUUGAAUGUUAUCCUGUUUUUUUAAUUGAAGUAAAAAUAAAUGAAGUCAUUACUACUAUUAAGAAAAGAAAGAUAUUUAAAAAUUUCGUAAAUACUAAUAAACUAAAUCCUUACUUCCUGUUCUUGACCAUCUCGAUGAAAUGUGUUAGCUCUGAUUCUUCCGGGUUAUUUCUAGGACGGAGCAUGUCGCCAAUUAAACGGAUGAAUUCUUCUCGGAAUGUCACUGGCCAAUUUGGUAAAGAUUUUACCUUUGCUUCUCCACUUGUUAGAAAGAUACAUUUCGGAUCCAAGGAGCCACGAUCAUUGUCACGUCCGUACAAUUCUUGUAAAACAAACCUUGAGAAUAAAAAUAACAAUUAGAUGAUAUUCAUUACCUAUACAAUAAUCAUAAUCUAAUUAAGAUAUCAAAUUAGUGGUUGAAUCACUCACCUGGUUAUGUUCCGGCACUUAACACUGAGACGAUCGCCAUCCCAUAUAGAUUCCAGACCAUCUCUCUGUAGAAUAGAGUCUAAAGAUAACAUACCCUGCUGUGAAAUUAAAGCACAACAUCCACCGUUACUUCAUUUCAUGUAAACUAAAACUACUGAACAAUGGAGACUGGUGUUUGAACAUGAAGAACAAUAAACAACUAUAUGGACUUCUCAAAAAAAUAAAAAUAUAUGGCAACCACAGGAUGUGGUCAAUCAGAUAAAAAUAUUAAUAUAACUUUGACGAAAUGUAUAUAAUUCAUACUGAGUGAUCUCGCGCGCAGAGAGUUGAUUAAAUUUAUCACCCAAGAGGCAAGAGCCCCUUGUUCAUCAGUCAGCCUUUUAUACAUUAUUUCACCUCAUUUAUUAAUUAUAUUUUAAUGUUUUAAUUAAGUAAAUUUAGUAAAAAAUCAAUAAAAACUUUACUCUUUAAAUAUUCUUAUCUUCAUCAGGAAUGUUACUUGAGUUUCAAGCCCAUAUAAAUAGUUAUGAAAUUACUUUUUUGCCCCAAAUUAAAUCAUAAAAAAGUCCAUGAUUAUGGAAAUGGAUCCUCUCUGGAUCCUUAUGCUAGGGAUCCCUACAUCUCAGCCGUUCAUCUUAUAUUGUACGGCUAGUUUUCGUCAGUUACUAUUUGUGUUUAAUUUUAAAUAAUAAAAAUUAAAUAAUUUCUAACCGCACGAUACACGAUGAACCGUUGAGAUGCGAGGAUCCCUAGGAUUCCCACAUAAUGGAUCCAAAGAGGAUCCAUUUCCCAUGAUCAUCUCUCCCAAAAAUGCUUCUUUUAUGCUCGUGAAGAUAACUCAGAUCUCUCUCUCUCUCUCUCAUUGAUGAAUCAAUACAUAUUUUCUUAUGUGUCACUGUUGUUUAAUAUUUUCUCAUUUAGGCACAUUUAUAGAAUAUAAUUGAAGAAAGUUAAAUAAAAUACAUUAAUAAAUUAACUUCUUUAAUGGGGAACAUUGAAUAAAACACAUUAGAUAAUAAAAUAAAAAUAGAAUAUGAAUAUGAAUUAAAGUACACAUCUAUGGACUAUAAUCAAUAUGUAAUCUAACAAUAGAUUAUUUUAUUAAAUUGCAAUCUUUUUAAGUGCUAAAGUUCAAAAACCCCUUUUUUUCUCUUAUAAUGUGUAAUAACAAUGUUGAAUAUUUACGUACAAUUGCAUUAUUUAUUGUUAGAUAAAUAUUUACGUACAAUUGCAUUAAUUAUUCUUAAAGAGUAAUUACAUUUUAUCUCCUCAGAUUUGGAUGCAAUUAUAACCUUAUACAUGUUUAAAACAUUUCAACCCUAUAUAUUUUGUUAUUAUUUCAAGGGAUGUGCUAUCCACACAUCAUUUUUUACUUCUCACACACCUUUUAUUAAUUUAUGUCAUUUGAUCUUAUUCAAUUCAUCUAAUUCGACGGUCGAAAAUUAAAAAUGUAUGUUAGAAGUAAAAAAUGAUGUGUGGAUAUCACAUCUUUAUUUCAAUUGCAAGUCAUCAAUGGAUUAAACAUUGAUUGGGCCGAAAUGUAAAUUCCAGAUCCAGACAAGGCGACAAAGAUCUUUUUAAGUACGAUGGCUUCCUUGCGUCAACUACAGUUCACAUGAAAGGACGUUGAAGUCUCACAUCUCGAACAACAUAACAUUCUUUACAAAUCUUUACACGUAUUUAUAUUCUACGCUCCUUUUGACCACUGAGACUUGUUCUCCACGGAAUUGUACAUUCUAUAGAGCACUUUGGAUGGACUUGCAAUGCAAGUAGGGUAUCCACCGACGGUAUAAAUGUGGAGGAACAUAAAACAUUUUCUUUAACAAGAAACAGAUUGAAAAAACACACACAACAGAAAC
This 4545-nucleotide long non-coding RNA is filed under the name Malus domestica (apple). Its description in RNAcentral is "long non-coding RNA (MDOM_LNC001134)". Lineage: Eukaryota; Viridiplantae; Streptophyta; Magnoliopsida; Rosales; Rosaceae. The record is from RNAcentral.